CAACCCUCAAGCUCUGCUUGGUAUUGGGUGUUACCUUGCUGGUACGCCUUAAAAUCAGUGGCGGUACCAUUUCAGCUUCAAGCGUAGUAAUACUUCUUGCUUUGGAGGUUGGGUGUUUGUUUGCCAGCAACCUCUAAUUAUCAAU
RNAcentral lists this unclassified non-coding RNA (145 nucleotides) under uncultured Leotiomycetes. Its description in RNAcentral is "sequence contains ITS2". The record is from RNAcentral. Lineage: Eukaryota; Fungi; Ascomycota; Leotiomycetes.